This 377-nucleotide ribosomal RNA is filed under the name uncultured bacterium. RNAcentral's name for it is "bacterial SSU rRNA". It matches the Rfam family "Bacterial small subunit ribosomal RNA", at positions 521 to 896 of the family's 1533-position model. The record is from RNAcentral.
UAAUACGGAGGGUGCAAGCGUUGCUCGGAAUUAUUGGGCGUAAAGGGUAGGUAGGUGGUCUCAUUUGUCUGGGGUGAAAGCCUUGAGCUUAACUCAAGAAGUGCCCCAGAAACGGUGAGACUAGAGUCCUGGAGAGGGUCGUGGAAUUCCCGGUGUAGCGGUGAAAUGCGUAGAGAUCGGGAGGAACACCAGAGGCGAAGGCGGCGACCUGGACAGGUACUGACACUCAACUACGAAAGCGUGGGGAGCAAACAGGAUUAGAUACCCUGGUAGUCCACGCUGUAAACGAUGGGUACUAGGUUUGGUGGGUCUUGACCCCCGCCGAACCGGCGCUAACGCAAUAAGUACCCCGCCUGGGAAGUACGGUCGCAAGACUA